CAAGCUGUAACGAUGAGUGUCAUUCUCACUCGUAAUGAAGGGGUCGAGGGUUCAAGUCCCUUUUCCAGCUUGA
Molecule: transfer RNA, 73 nt
Filed under: Caudoviricetes sp.
Lineage: Duplodnaviria; Heunggongvirae; Uroviricota; Caudoviricetes
Description: tRNA-Leu
Source: RNAcentral